Malania oleifera is the source of this 1288-nucleotide long non-coding RNA. RefSeq lists it as uncharacterized. The transcript is spliced from 4 exons. The record is from RefSeq and is a predicted model, not a curated record. NCBI's taxonomy places the organism in Eukaryota, Viridiplantae, Streptophyta, Magnoliopsida, Santalales, Ximeniaceae.
AGGAAUUGCAAGAGGGAGAGAAUGAGAAAGAGAAGGAGAAAGAGAGGAAAAGAAGGAGAAGGAGAGGAAGAGGAAGAGAAAUAGAGGGAGAGAAGGAGAAAGAGAGAGAAAAUAAGAGAGUCCAAAAUUUUGAGGAUUAGAAUUUUAGGUCUCGAAAAAUUAUACCGUGAAGGGUUAAAUCAAGGUGCUCGUCGACGAGGAGAAGUUGAGAGGUUUCAGGAAACCGCGAAUCUCAGGCUCAUCGACGAGACCAUUGUUUUGUCGACGAGUUGUCUACUUUGGCUCGUCGACGAAGUCACCAUUCGUCGACGAGGUCGGCUGAGUCAAAGGGGCUAUAAAAAUCCAAUUGAGUUGCUUAAUCAUGAAGUUAGCUAAAAAUCCUCUCCCUCUCUCUAGAACACGAAGGUAACUCUCUCUCUCUUUAGAUUUCUUCACCGUACGUUGCUGAAAUCGUCAAUCCGAUGUUACCAUGAGGAUCAGUGAAGGAUUCUCUACAAGUUUAACGAAUUGGAUUUUCGUUUCAGACGUUUUCGGGUUUUGGCUCAAAAUUGAGGUUUUGGGAACUUGAGUUGCGGUUUAGGGGCCGUGGAGCUCGGGUUUGGAUUUUCGGGGAAAGGAACUGCGUUCCGAGUUAUUCCAGGUAUGGAAAGAGUGUCUGGCUCUAUAUCCGAAGGCGUAUGAAAUCGUUGGCGGCCAUGUUUGGCAAGAGUGUCCGACUCUAUAUCUGAGGGCGUGAGCCUUACCGGCUGAUCACUAAAGGGUGUGGAUCCACGAGUUUAUAUCGGUACGAUGCCACGGGAGCCUAGGGCUAUGCCAUGUGCCAGGGAUGCCAUGUAUCGUGGGUUGGCUAUGGGCUGACGCCGGGUAUCGCAGGUCGGCUACGGACCGAAGGGUGUGACGACAAUGGGUUGCUUGAUCAUGUGUGUGUGCGUGUGAUGCACUGUACUGGAAUUGCAUUUAACUGUGUAUGUUUUGCUGUCAUGAUAACACUCAAAUGCCACACACCAAUAUAACCUGUAUUUGCCUUACUAAGAUGUGUCUCACCCCUGCUGUAUGUACAUAUUUUUUAAGUCCUUUGAGUAAUUGAGACUAACUUCCUUGGGUUGGGAGCGUAGUGGCCAGUGUACUGCGGUUAGCGCUUGUGUAAGUGCUACGAAUUUUAUUUAGGGGUUGUCAUUUUUGGGAUAUGGUUGGCACUCGAGUUUAUGUUUUAUGUUAUGGAGCCUGAACUCCUAUUGUAUAGACUUUGGUAUGGUACUGUAUAUGUACAGAAAGACCUUUUGCCCUA